GGGCUCUUAGCUCAGCUGGUUCAGAGCACCUGCCUUACAAGCAGGGGGUCACUGGUUCGAAUCCAGUAGGGCCCAC
This 76-nucleotide transfer RNA is filed under the name Weeksella virosa. Its description in RNAcentral is "tRNA-Val(tac)". It matches the Rfam family "tRNA". Rfam says of the family: Transfer RNA (tRNA) molecules are approximately 80 nucleotides in length. RNAcentral also lists the same sequence under 1 other name. The record is from RNAcentral. Lineage: Bacteria; Pseudomonadati; Bacteroidota; Flavobacteriia; Flavobacteriales; Weeksellaceae.